RNAcentral lists this long non-coding RNA (336 nucleotides) under Elaeis guineensis (African oil palm). RNAcentral's name for it is "long non-coding RNA (EGUI_LNC077743)". Lineage: Eukaryota; Viridiplantae; Streptophyta; Magnoliopsida; Arecales; Arecaceae. The record is from RNAcentral.
UGUCUCGACUAUUCUGUAGGAUCUUUUUCAAUUCGGAGAUAAUUUUUUCUGAUCUUGGGGUCUUGAGACUUCUGUUUUUCUUAGGAUCAGGUCUCUUGGACAGAAGACCUUCAGCUUAACUUUUGCAUUAUAAUAUCAAUCUACUCUUUGCCGAUAUACUGUCAUCGAAACUUAAGCUUAUUGUCGGACUUCUGAAAGUAAGUCUAGAUCGACUCUCCGAUAUUCUGAAUUGCUUGGCUCAUUGUAUCGUUCCACCCUUGCUGAUGGUAAUUCAAUCUCAAGUAGGAUCAUCAUUUUUAUUCCAUAUGCUAGAUUGAAUGGUGAUUCUCCCGUUGG